Molecule: non-coding RNA, 865 nt
Organism: Microcebus murinus (gray mouse lemur)
Lineage: Eukaryota; Metazoa; Chordata; Mammalia; Primates; Cheirogaleidae
Source: RefSeq, a predicted model, not a curated record
AAAGGAGGAUUGGAGAGUACAAUUUACUAAUGAUCAGAUCAAUGAGUGCUAAGUUUUGACUCCGAAGCACGAACUGGAUGAAAUAAAAAUUGCUUAGGCAUCAGAUAUUAGGCUUCUCUUAAGUGCAACUUAGUAAGAAACAUAAAAAAUGACACGUAGUGAAGCGAUGUCCGGGUCCGGCCAGGCUCUAACCCUCGCAGGGGGUCUGACUCUGGAGGGGGAGGCACGACCUUCGCCCCCGUCCCGGGGAGGUCCCGGGGUGCAGGUGCGGGGACGGCGGCUGUGACCGCGAGCAGCCUGGGCUCACGAGCACUGCUGGGGGGAAGGCACGGGCCACGCCGCGCCGCCUCUGCCCGCCGGCGGCUCCGCGAGGCCAACUUCUGCUCGGGCCGGGCCCAGCUGCCCCUGCGCGGGCGCCGACGGCCGCGCUCGCCUUCUGGACGCCGACGGAAGAGCGACUGUCCGCCCGCGGGCGCCGACGGCCAGGCUCGGCGCCGCUCAAAGAAAAGGCAGCCAGCGGUAGAAAGAGAGAGACAAAGGGCCAGAAACCGUCCGGGAGCGUUCACACUCCUAAAACGUCGAGUCCUCCGGAGACCUGAAGUCGCUCCCUCAGCUGCACACACCGGACGCGGCGUGGACAAGCGGGCGCGGGGCUGACACGUUCCCUCAGCGCUCUCGCCACAGGACAGGUUUAUCAGAAACUCUGUUCCUUGAGUCCUGGAUGCAAAUCAACCUUCUCCAUUUAACGUGACAGACUUGAACGGGUAGAUGGCGUUGCCACUCCAUAAAAUGGCAGAAUAUCAGCUUUCCUGCUGUCAAAAAAAUUCUGGAGUUGAGGUCUCACAAUGUUGCCCAGGCUGGCUUC